GGAGAGGUGUCCGAGUGGCUUAAGGAGCACGCUUGGAAAGCGUGUGUACGGUAUCCCCGUACCAUGGGUUCGAAUCCCAUCCUCUCCGCCA
This 91-nucleotide transfer RNA is filed under the name Candidatus Aminicenantota bacterium. RNAcentral describes it as "Candidatus Aminicenantes bacterium tRNA-Ser". It matches the Rfam family "tRNA". Rfam says of the family: Transfer RNA (tRNA) molecules are approximately 80 nucleotides in length. Their secondary structure includes four short double-helical elements and three loops (D, anti-codon, and T loops). Further hydrogen bonds mediate the characteristic L-shaped molecular structure. tRNAs have two regions of fundamental functional importance: the anti-codon, which is responsible for specific mRNA codon recognition, and the 3' end, to which the tRNAs corresponding amino acid is attached (by aminoacyl-tRNA synthetases). tRNAs cope with the degeneracy of the genetic code in two manners: having more than one tRNA (with a specific anti-codon) for a particular amino acid; and 'wobble' base-pairing, i.e. permitting non-standard base-pairing at the 3rd anti-codon position. The record is from RNAcentral. Lineage: Bacteria; Candidatus Aminicenantota.